RNAcentral lists this unclassified non-coding RNA (200 nucleotides) under uncultured fungus. RNAcentral's name for it is "sequence contains ITS1, 5.8S rRNA gene". The record is from RNAcentral. Lineage: Eukaryota; Fungi.
CUGAGUCGUCAACACGAGUUGUUGCUGGUCCUCAAACAGGGGACAUGUGCACGCUCUGUUUACACAUCCACUCACACCUGUGCACCCUCUGUAGUUCUAUGGUCUGGGGGGCUCUGCCUCCCUUCUGUGGUUCUGCAUCUUUACACACACACUGUAACAAAGUUUUAUGGAAUGUACAUCGCGUUUAACGCAAUAUAAUA